This 391-nucleotide unclassified non-coding RNA is filed under the name soil metagenome. RNAcentral's name for it is "partial contains 5.8S ribosomal RNA, internal transcribed spacer 2, and large subunit ribosomal RNA". The stretch from base 1 to 122 matches the Rfam family "5.8S ribosomal RNA", at positions 35 to 154 of the family's 154-position model. The record is from RNAcentral.
GAUGAAGAACGUAGCGAAAUGCGAUACUUGGUGUGAAUUGCAGAAUCCCGUGAACCAUCGAGUCUUUGAACGCAAGUUGCGCCCGAAGCCACUAGGCCGAGGGCACGCCUGCCUGGGCGUCACAUGCCGUUGCCCCCCCAUCUACUCCUUCGGGAUUGCGGGGGGGCGGAUGAUGGCCUCCCGUGCGCCUAGCCGCGCGGUUGGCAUAAAUACCAAGUCCUCGGCGACGCACGCCACGACAAUCGGUGGUUGCGAAACCUCGGUUGCCCGUCGUGUGCGUUCGUCGCGCAUCGAGGGCUCGAAAAAAUGCUCGGCUCCGGCUGGGCUUUCAACGCGACCCCAGGUCAGGCGGGGUUACCCGCUGAAUUUAAGCAUAUCAAUAAGCGGAGGA